This is a long non-coding RNA of Prionailurus viverrinus (fishing cat), 1091 nucleotides long. RefSeq lists it as uncharacterized. The transcript is spliced from 2 exons. The record is from RefSeq and is a predicted model, not a curated record. NCBI's taxonomy places the organism in Eukaryota, Metazoa, Chordata, Mammalia, Carnivora, Felidae.
AUCGUGACCCGGCUGAAGUCGGACGCUUAACUGACUGCGCCACCCAGGUGCCCCUAAAGUGUGCGCUUUCCGAGGCCAGAUCACUAAGAGCUCUGCAGCUUGCGCCUUCUUUCCUGCGGAUUCCCACUCCAGGGGACGCCAGCCCUGUGUUGGGAGGACACUGGAGCAGCUUGUGGAGAGGCCCCUGUGGGGUGGAACGGAGGCCGCCUGCCAAUAUCCAGAAACACCCGAGUCAGCCAUCUUGGUAGCCCACCUGCAGCCCCAAAGCUGGCUCACCCACCCCGAAUUCCCGACCGAAGAAACUGCACAUGAUAAUCAAUGUCUACUGUUGUUUUCAACCAUUAAGUUUUGGGGUAACGUGACACAUGACAAUCAAGAAUAGACAAGUUCCCGGGGCAUGGAUCCUGGUGUCUCUGCCAUACGCCAGGGACGUUCGUGGGCUUGGACGAGGUGUCCACUCCAGCGGGCCCAGAGCUCCCACGACAGUUGUUCUGUGGCAAGCCCGGAGGCCUCACCAUCCGUGCAGCCCCGUCCUCAGCCAAGGACAGUGGGAACUCUGAGACUCCCCUCUCCACGGAUUCCAGCAGCACCACUGCAUCCUCAGCUCAGUAAUACGGGGUGGCCUGGCUGGACGCCAUCUCUCUGUGCCAGGGUGGGAGACUGCCACAGUAGCAAGCUGGGGUGGGCAAGGUGGACCUCAGGAAUUUCUCUUCCCUGGGGAUCGCAGUCCUGCAUUUCCUGUUUUUCAUACCUGAAAAGGGCUGCCUCGUCUGCUUUGUCCAUGUUAAUGAUUGGUUGCAGUAGAGGGCCAGUCUGGCAGGAUUCUCUCCAAUAGCCCAUACAGGAGCCUCAAUCAAAUGUGUUUUUUUCAAAGGCAAGCUCUUUCUACGUUUGUGGGCAACCUGGGGAGCUCUGCAUCAAGCCUAGAAUUUAGUUAGUGGUGAUGGACUGACGUUGGUUUCUUAGUUGUGAUAAAGCUACCACGGAAAUGUAAGGUGUGGACAUUAAAGGAAAUGGGUGGGGGGAGCUCUGUGUUACCUGUGCAUCUUUCCUGUAAAUGUGACAUUAUUGCAAUAAAAAAUGUUAAAUGA